RNAcentral lists this ribosomal RNA (254 nucleotides) under uncultured bacterium. Its description in RNAcentral is "partial 16S ribosomal RNA". It matches the Rfam family "Bacterial small subunit ribosomal RNA", at positions 524 to 776 of the family's 1533-position model. The record is from RNAcentral.
CACGUAGGGUGCGAGCGUUGUCCGGAAUUAUUGGGCGUAAAGAGCUCGUAGGCGGUGUGUCGCGUCGGCCGUGAAAACCUGCAGCUUAACUGUGGGCGUGCGGUCGAUACGGGCAUCACUGGAGUUCGGCAGGGGAGACUGGAAUUCCUGGUGUAGCGGUGGAAUGCGCAGAUAUCAGGAGGAACACCGGUGGCGAAGGCGGGUCUCUGGGCAGUAACUGACGCUGAGGAGCGAAAGCGUGGGGAGCGAACAGG